CUCUCUACCCUUUGUGACUAUUAUACCUGUUGCUUCGGCGGCGCCCGCGAGGGUGCCCGCCGGUCUCAUCAGAAUCUCUGUUUUCGAACCCGACGAUACUUCUGAGUGUUCUUAGCGAACUGUCAAAACUUUUAACAACGGAUCUCUUGGCUCCAGCAUCGAUGAAGAACGCAGCGAAACGCGAUAUGUAAUGUGAAUUGCAGAAUUCAGUGAAUCAUCGAAUCUUUGAACGCACAUGGCGCCUUCCAGUAUCCUGGGAGGCAUGCCUGUCCGAGCGUCGUUUCAACCCUCGAGCCCCCGUGGCCCGGCGUUGGGGAUCUGCCACGGCAGGCCCCUAAAACCAGUGGCGGACCCGAAGGCCCUCUCCUUUGCGCAGUAGCAUCAGCCUCGCAUUGGGAUCCCUCGGCGUCCUGCCUCUAAACCCCCCACAAGUCCGCUCCGGCGGCACCAAGGUUGACCUCGGAUCAGGUAGGAAUACCCGCUGAACUUAAGCAUAUCAAUAAGCGGAGGA
Molecule: ribosomal RNA, 511 nt
Filed under: Plectosphaerella cucumerina
Lineage: Eukaryota; Fungi; Ascomycota; Sordariomycetes; Glomerellales; Plectosphaerellaceae
Description: eukaryotic LSU rRNA
Rfam family: 5.8S ribosomal RNA (bases 127-280)
Source: RNAcentral